UGCUUGUCUCAAAGAUUAAGCCAUGCAUGUCUAUGCACAAGCCGAAUACGGUGAAGCCGCGAAUGGCUCAUUACAACAGCCACUGUUUACUUGAUUCUGAUUAUCCCACUUGGAUAACUGUGGUAAUUCUAGAGCUAAUACAUGCAACCAAGCUCCGACCGUAAGGGACGAGCGCAUUUAUUAGAACAAAACCAAUCGGGCUUCGGCCUGAGGUUUGGUGAAUCUGAAUAACUGAGCUGAUCGCAUGGUCUUUGUACCGGCGACGCAUCUGUCAAGUGUCUGCCUUAUCAACUUUCGAUGGUAGUUUAUGUGCCUACCAGGUUGUAACGGGUAACGGAGAAUAAGGGUUCGACUCCGGAGAGGGAGCCUGAGAAACGGCUACCACAUCCRAGGAAGGCAGCAGGCA
This 406-nucleotide ribosomal RNA is filed under the name Nematoda environmental sample. Its description in RNAcentral is "SSU rRNA". It matches the Rfam family "Eukaryotic small subunit ribosomal RNA", at positions 29 to 436 of the family's 1831-position model. Lineage: Eukaryota; Metazoa; Nematoda. The record is from RNAcentral.